GUGGCUGCGGCCUGCCCCUCAGCCUCCUCCGCGCGGUUACCCCUGUACCCGCCGCCAUCCGUCCUGGCGCUCCGGAUGAGUCAAUGAGGGGCAGGGCCCGAGGAGUGGUCUUCCCAAGAACCCCUGGUGGCCUCCCAAGGCCGGUGCUGUGUACCUCCUCCCCGACAAAAGGGGAAACUGAGGCCCCGAGGGGAGUGGGAAGAGCCGGCUGGACGUCAGGCCCAGCCGCUGGUGCAGUGGUCCGUCCCCUCCGCCGGGGUGGGCCCCUCGGGUUUCGCGUGUCCUCGGGAAAGAGACUGGCGGGCCUCGUGGGCUGUGCGGCUAUCCUGGAGACAGAUGACAGCUCUCCCUUGGAUGGCUUUGCUGGUUCCGCACCAGCCAGCGCCCCUAUUUUUCCUGCAGCACCCUGAUCUGCACUCCCUGAGGGGCUCCCACUGUCCGCGGUGUGAGGAUGUCCCUGGAUAGUCCACUGUGUGCAGAGGCAUGGGAGUUGUCAUGUCGAGAACAUGCUAGACCUCAGUGUCCUUGAGGGAUGCCGCCUUGGGUCUGGAAAUUGUUAGAGGAAACCCCAAGAGGUGCAGGCACUGAGCCUCUCAGGACAAUGACCUGGGGUCCCAGCUCCCCUGGAGGGGCCUCCUCAUGAUUGUUUGGGGCUUGAUCACAGACCAAGAGUGACGAGUGAUGUCACCCUGUGACUCAUGGCCGGACCUUCUUGCCCCUAUUGUCUCAGCACAACAUUAUUUGACUUUUCCCUCAGCGUGGGUGGGCAGAGGAAAAGCCCUGUGGCUCUGGGGACUUGGGAUCCGGAGUUGAAGACCCUUCAGCUGGCUCUGCCCUGCCAGUGCCACAGAGUGCCAUGGCCCAGGAAGACAGGUUUUCUUCCAUCUAGGCCAGGCCAUCCAGUGGCCAUCCUCCGUGUCCUCCCGCCUCCUCCUGGUGUGACUUCUGAAAACCAAGAAUUUGUUCCUGUUGACUUUUUCUGUGCUAUGGACCAUUGUCCUCUCACCCACUCAAUAAAUCUUGAAACAUGC
This 1031-nucleotide long non-coding RNA is filed under the name Pan troglodytes (chimpanzee). RNAcentral describes it as "lincRNA". Lineage: Eukaryota; Metazoa; Chordata; Mammalia; Primates; Hominidae. The record is from RNAcentral.